CAGGACGAACGCUGGCGGCGCGCCUAACACAUGCAAGUCGAGGGAGAAGCACCCUUCGGGGUGUGGAGACCGGCGAACGGGUGAGUAACACGUGAGGAAUCUGCCCUGUAGACCGGAAUAACCACGGGAAACUGUGGCUAAUGCCGGAUAUUCUCGCCGCUCCGCAUGGAGCAACGAGGAAAUGGUCAGCCGCUACAGGAUGACCUCGCGCCUAUCAGCUUGUGGCGGGUACGCCCAC
This 238-nucleotide ribosomal RNA is filed under the name uncultured soil bacterium. Its description in RNAcentral is "partial 16S ribosomal RNA". It matches the Rfam family "Bacterial small subunit ribosomal RNA", at positions 25 to 268 of the family's 1533-position model. The record is from RNAcentral.